This 253-nucleotide ribosomal RNA is filed under the name uncultured bacterium. Its description in RNAcentral is "partial 16S ribosomal RNA". It matches the Rfam family "Bacterial small subunit ribosomal RNA", at positions 524 to 776 of the family's 1533-position model. The record is from RNAcentral.
UACGUAGGGGGCAAGCGUUGUCCGGAAUUAUUGGGCGUAAAGAGCGUGUAGGCGGUCCGGUAAGUCAGCUGUGAAAGUCAAGGGCUCAACCCUUGAAUGCCGGUUGAUACUGUCGGGCUAGAGUCCGGAAGAGGCGAGUGGAAUUCCUGGUGUAGCGGUGAAAUGCGCAGAUAUCAGGAGGAACACCAAUUGCGAAGGCAGCUCGCUGGAACGUAACUGACGCUGAGACGCGAAAGCGUGGGGAGCAAACAGG